GGGUUUGAAGCUUAAGUGGUAUAAAGCAAAAGACUGUUAAUCUUGAGACAGUAGGUUCGAGUCCUACCAAGCCCG
This 75-nucleotide transfer RNA is filed under the name Crassvirales sp. Its description in RNAcentral is "tRNA-Asn". It matches the Rfam family "tRNA". From Rfam's summary of the family: Transfer RNA (tRNA) molecules are approximately 80 nucleotides in length. The record is from RNAcentral. Lineage: Duplodnaviria; Heunggongvirae; Uroviricota; Caudoviricetes; Crassvirales.